CCACCCGCCGCCGCACCGGGGAGUUUUCCAACCGCCGAUCGAGGUAAAUUUCAUACCCCGGCUCGUUUUUCAAUGGUGAGUUCUCCUGUGGCCAAAUCGGAGCCAAACUCCCGGCCAAACGGCCGAAAAACACGACCGAAACCCAGCGGCGCUGCCGCGUCCCUCCUCAAUUUUUGCCUCCGAUGAGGCCCUUUCCGGCCUUUGUUUGAUACAAUUUUUAUAUCACCGUGAUCACCAUUCUUUUCUCUACAGGUUGAUCGGAGCCAAAUCACCAAAACACGAACCACACCGGAGAGCCGCCGCACCCGAGAGCACCGCCGCCGGUAAGCUUCGGUUUUUCGUAAUUUUUUGGCCCCCCGAGGGCCCUAGGGUUGUUUUAUCGCAUGGACCGAUGUAAGUGUGGCCGAAUUCGGCCGAAAACGGCCAACCCAAGGUGAAUCGCCGUCGCCGGAGCACGGCGGAGCCGCCGUGCUAGAAUUGCGAUAUUGGCCGAAAGGGACCCUAGGUCUGAUUCUGAG
RNAcentral lists this long non-coding RNA (518 nucleotides) under Carica papaya (papaya). RNAcentral's name for it is "long non-coding RNA (CPAP_LNC012793)". The record is from RNAcentral. Lineage: Eukaryota; Viridiplantae; Streptophyta; Magnoliopsida; Brassicales; Caricaceae.